RNAcentral lists this ribosomal RNA (936 nucleotides) under uncultured bacterium. RNAcentral's name for it is "bacterial SSU rRNA". It matches the Rfam family "Bacterial small subunit ribosomal RNA", at positions 49 to 964 of the family's 1533-position model. The record is from RNAcentral.
UAACACAUGCAAGUCGAGCGGAAACGACACUAACAAUCCUCCGGGUGCGUUAAUGGGCGUCGAGCGGCGGACGGGUGAGUAAUGCCUAGGAAAUUGCCUUGAUGUGGGGGAUAACCAUUGGAAACGAUGGCUAAUACCGCAUAAUGCCUACGGGCCAAAGAGGGGGACCUUCGGGCCUCUCGCGUCAAGAUAUGCCUAGGUGGGAUUAGCUAGUUGGUGAGGUAAUGGCUCACCAAGGCGACGAUCCCUAGCUGGUCUGAGAGGAUGAUCAGCCACACUGGAACUGAGACACGGUCCAGACUCCUACGGGAGGCAGCAGUGGGGAAUAUUGCACAAUGGGCGAAAGCCUGAUGCAGCCAUGCCGCGUGUAUGAAGAAGGCCUUCGGGUUGUAAAGUACUUUCAGUUGUGAGGAAGGGGGUAACGUUAAUAGCGUUAUCUCUUGACGUUAGCAACAGAAGAAGCACCGGCUAACUCCGUGCCAGCAGCCGCGGUAAUACGGAGGGUGCGAGCGUUAAUCGGAAUUACUGGGCGUAAAGCGCAUGCAGGUGGUUCAUUAAGUCAGAUGUGAAAGCCCGGGGCUCAACCUCGGAACUGCAUUUGAAACUGGUGAACUAGAGUACUGUAGAGGGGGGUAGAAUUUCAGGUGUAGCGGUGAAAUGCGUAGAGAUCUGAAGGAAUACCAGUGGCGAAGGCGGCCCCCUGGACAGAUACUGACACUCAGAUGCGAAAGCGUGGGGAGCAAACAGGUUUAGAUGCCCUGGUAGUCCACGCCGUANACGAUGUCUACUUGGAGGUUGUGGCCUUGAGCCGUGGCUUUCGGAGCUAACGCGUUAAGUAGACCGCCUGGGGAGUACGGUCGCAAGAUUAAAACUCAAAUGAAUUGACGGGGGCCCGCACAAGCGGUGGAGCAUGUGGUUUAAUUCGAUGCAACGCGA